This 209-nucleotide ribosomal RNA is filed under the name Priacanthus tayenus (purple-spotted bigeye). Its description in RNAcentral is "partial 16S ribosomal RNA". The record is from RNAcentral. Lineage: Eukaryota; Metazoa; Chordata; Actinopteri; Priacanthiformes; Priacanthidae.
GCCAACCAGCUAGCCCCAACCCCAAAAAACAACAAAUCAACAUUACCAACCAUAAAUACACCUGCUUAAACCAAGCAAACCAUUUUUCCACCUAAGUAAGGGCGACAGAAAAGGAACAACGGAGCAAUAGAGAAAGUACCGCAAGGGAAAGCUGAAAGAGAAAUGAAACAACCCUAAAAAGCCCAAAAAAGCAAAGAUUAACCCUUGUA